Molecule: transfer RNA, 72 nt
Filed under: Bifidobacterium longum
Lineage: Bacteria; Bacillati; Actinomycetota; Actinomycetes; Bifidobacteriales; Bifidobacteriaceae
Description: tRNA-Val
Rfam family: tRNA
About the family: Transfer RNA (tRNA) molecules are approximately 80 nucleotides in length. Their secondary structure includes four short double-helical elements and three loops (D, anti-codon, and T loops).
Source: RNAcentral
GGGCGGUUGGCGCGGUGGUAGCGCACUUCCCUGACACGGAAGGGGUCACAAGUUCGAAUCUUGUAUCGCCCA